AUGAGUCAUCCUGAUGGCAUCAACAUUCUCAAUGUCAAGUUCUGCCUAGGAGAUGAUGACUAUGCAUGUCGGCCAGGUGUUCUUCCACCUAGAAAAACCAAGUACCAUCUGAACGAGUUAGCUAGAUGUAGGAACUAUCCUAGGACUCCACAUGAGCUAUUUAAUCUUAGACACUCCAGCCUUAGAGUUACUGUUGAGAGGGCAUUUGGAGCUCUGAAGAACAGGUUUAAGAUACUAGAUCAGAAACCAUUCUACACUUUCUCCACCCAGGUUAAGCUUGUGCUUACCUAUUGCAUUCUGCAUAACUGGAUCCUGCAAUGGGGUUGUGAUGAACUGAUGCCUAAGGAGGGAUAUGUGACACCUGAUGAUGUUGUCAGCUCCUGCCAUGGUGUGAAGGCAUUUAACAACGAAGCCUGGAAGAACAAAAGGAUGAAAUUGGCACAUACAAUGUGGGAUAACAGAGGUCGGACAAGGAUCCGAAGAAGAAGAAAAACAAGAGGAGCAACAGUAGAAGAGAAAAAGAAGAAGCAUGAGGACACGAAGAAGAAGAAACAAUAG
Molecule: ribosomal RNA, 558 nt
Filed under: Triticum aestivum (bread wheat)
Lineage: Eukaryota; Viridiplantae; Streptophyta; Magnoliopsida; Poales; Poaceae
Description: partial small subunit ribosomal RNA
Source: RNAcentral